This 388-nucleotide ribosomal RNA is filed under the name uncultured bacterium. RNAcentral describes it as "bacterial SSU rRNA". It matches the Rfam family "Bacterial small subunit ribosomal RNA", at positions 29 to 420 of the family's 1533-position model. The record is from RNAcentral.
AUUGAACGCUGGCGGCAUGCCUUACACAUGCAAGUCGAACGGUAACGCGGGGCAACCUGGCGACGAGUGGCGAACGGGUGAGUAAUGCAUCGGAACGUGCCCAGUAGUGGGGGAUAGCCCGGCGAAAGCCGGAUUAAUACCGCAUACGACCUACGGGUGAAAGCGGGGGACCGUAAGGCCUCGCGCUAUUGGAGCGGCCGAUGUCAGAUUAGGUAGUUGGUGGGGUAAAGGCCUACCAAGCCUACGAUCUGUAGCUGGCCUGAGAGGACGACCAGCCACACUGGGACUGAGACACGGCCCAGACUCCUACGGGAGGCAGCAGUGGGGAAUUUUGGACAAUGGGCGCAAGCCUGAUCCAGCCAUGCCGCGUGCGGGAAGAAGGCCUCGG